Salvia miltiorrhiza (redroot sage) is the source of this 978-nucleotide long non-coding RNA. RefSeq lists it as uncharacterized. The record is from RefSeq and is a predicted model, not a curated record. Lineage: Eukaryota; Viridiplantae; Streptophyta; Magnoliopsida; Lamiales; Lamiaceae. The transcript is spliced from 5 exons.
AUUGAAAGACCCGCUAAUAUGCAAGUAAGAAAACCUCGUACUAAUAGAGGUUGGCAUCAAAGGAGUGAGCAAAACAAUGACAUCCUUGAUUCAUUGAAUGACUCAUCCGAGCGUGAGAUAGGCUUAGAUCAUAUUGAAAGGAGCGCGGACAUUCAAGUAAGAAAACCUCGUACCAAUAGAGGUUGGCAUCAAAGGACUGGGCAAAAUAAUGACAUCAUUGGUUCAUUGAAUGACUCAUCCGAGCGUGAAAUAGGUUGAAUUAAUACUUUUAUUUAGUCUUAUUAUUAUAAUAAUAAUAAUUAUCUAAUUGAUGUUGUGUAGGCUUAGAUCAUAUUGAAAGGAGUGCGGACAUUCAAGUAAGAAAACCUCGUACCAAUAGAGGUAGGCGUCAAAGGACUGGGCAAAAUAAUGACAUCAUUGGUUCAUUGAAUGACUCAUCUGAGCGUGAGAUAGUCCAAAACACAUCUGAAAAUGUCCAAGAAGUUGGUUGCAGAACAAGCAAAAAUAACUCUGAGAAUGUCACAACUGAGUUGGUAGAUGGCGGCAAUAAGAAAAAGAGGGCAAGAGGACCAACGUGCAUGCCAAAAGUUUGGGGCCUAAAUAAAAAUUUUAAUGUUUCUUUCAAUGAGCUCGGGCAACCUAAUGAUCGGAAGCAAACAAGCACGCUAGCUCAUUUUUUAGGUACUAUUGCAAGAAAUGGAUCAUUCUGCCCACUGCAUUAUACUGAUUGGAGAUUGAUGCCAAACUCAUAUAAGGAAGACAUGCUUAGAGAAGUGAAGUCGAGGUUUACUAUGCGAGCUGGCAGUGACAGUUUUAUACUACAAUCAAUUAACCAUAAGUGGAGGAAUUGGAAGUGUCAAUUGAAGAAUUUGAACUUUGACCCAAGUGUAUCUAUUGAAGAACAAUUGCUGACAGUACCAGAGAGGGUAAAUGCACAUCAAUAUAAGAAACUACUUGAUCAUUGGAAUACCGACAAAG